UCGGUAUCUUGACUACAUUCCAAGAGCUGUCCAAGAAAAUUUUGGGCAACUACUUGAUGAGUAAGUUGGCACGGGACUGAAAACUAAGUUGUGCGUUGACUUUGAAUUGAACCAGGUUAUUGACCGAAAUGUGGGAGAUCUUUUGGAUGAUCUAAAGGUUGGGCGCUGAUGGCCAUGGUCAACCACUAGGUCUCCAAGAUGGACGACAUCAUCAUGAUGUAGAGCAUUUAGGUAAUUGGCGAGCCGAGCCUUCCUUGGCUGACAGUGCAGGGCUGUACAUGGAGCAAGCCCGGUUGUGGCGCUCGUGAAGGGGGGACGUGGAUUCGGCCCUGGUGCAGCAGCA
Molecule: non-coding RNA, 343 nt
Organism: Lolium perenne
Lineage: Eukaryota; Viridiplantae; Streptophyta; Magnoliopsida; Poales; Poaceae
Source: RefSeq, a predicted model, not a curated record